GCCUCGGUGGCUCAGCCUGGUAGAUGCGUCUUUGCAACAGAUAGCAUCCGCCUCGUAAGCGGAAGGUCGCGGGUUCAAACCCCGCCCGAGGCUCCA
RNAcentral lists this transfer RNA (96 nucleotides) under Candidatus Bathyarchaeota archaeon. Its description in RNAcentral is "tRNA-Thr". It matches the Rfam family "tRNA". From Rfam's summary of the family: Transfer RNA (tRNA) molecules are approximately 80 nucleotides in length. Their secondary structure includes four short double-helical elements and three loops (D, anti-codon, and T loops). Lineage: Archaea; Thermoproteati; Candidatus Bathyarchaeota. The record is from RNAcentral.